UGGGAGGCGGAGGUUGCGGUGAGCCGAGAUUGCUCCACUGCACUCCAGCCUGGUGCCUGGCGACAGCGUGAGACUCUGUCUCAAAAAAAAAAAAGAUAGAGAAAGGUGGAGGGACGGGGGGGGGGCACUCACGUAGGGGAGGAUAUUUUGAUUGAACACAGGCUUGACAGAAUCUUAUUUUCUUCUUCGAAAUCCUAGAAAACAGAAAACAACAGGAAGAUGUCUUAUUGGAAAAUACUGCCAUCAAUUUCACCAUGAGUCAAACAAGGAAGAACAGUUCCUCAGAAGGAGAAACAAAGUCCCAGACUUCAUUUGUCAACAAAUUUCUCAGGGAUUCCAAAGCCGAAAGCAGAGAAGAGAAAAAUGACCUUCAAAUAACCGAUUCCCAACCGGGUGACUGGAUACAGAAGACAGCCACCUCAGACACCGCUAAGCCUCUCAAUUCAGGAAUGGAACUGAGAUCCAGUAUGGAGGAAAAUGAGCAGUUCCUGCAGAAGCUGGGCAAAAAGGCUGUCGACAAGUGUCUGGAUCUGAAUAGCUGCGGAUUAACAACGGCAGACAUGGAAGAAAUGGUUGCCUUGCUGCCUUUUCUCCCGGACUUGGAAGAACUGGAUAUCUCCUGGAAUGAUUUUGUAGGUGGAAAUCUCCAUUCCAUCACUCAGCAAAUGCAUCUGGUCAGCAAAUUAAGAAUCCUGAGGCUGGGUAGCUGCAGACUUAACACUGAUGACGUUCGAGCACUGGGAGAAGCACUUGAGAUGAUUCCUGAACUUGAGGAGCUAAAUUUGUCUUGGAACAGUAAAGUGGGAGGAAAUUUGCCUCUGAUCCUUCAGAAGUUCCAAAAAGGGAGCAAGAUACAAAUCCUGGAGCUUGUGGAUUGUGCCCUCACUUCAGAAGAUGGCGCAUUUCUGGGUCAAGUGCUGCCGAUGCUGCAAAGCCUUGAAGUACUUGAUCUUUCCGUGAAUAGAGACAUUGGUGGCAGUCUAAACAGUAUUGCUCAGGGAUUAAAAAGUACCUCAAAUCUGAAAGUACUGAAGUUACAUUCAUGUGGAUUGUCACAAACGAGUGUCAAAAUAUUGGAUGCUGCUUUUAGGUACUUAGGUGAGCUGAGGAAAUUAGAUCUUUCCUGCAAUAAGGAUCUAGGUGGAGGUUUUGAAGACUCGCUGGCUCAGGUGGUCAUGCUAAAGCAUCUGGAAGUCCUAGAUCUUCACCAGUGCUCACUAACAGCAGAUGACGUGAUGUCACUGACCCAGGUCAUUCCUCUACUCUCAAAUCUUCAAGAAUUGGAUUUGUCAGCCAAUAAAAAGAUGGGCAGUUUUUCUGAAAACUUACUCAGCAGGCUCCGAUUUUUACCAGCAUUGAAGUCAUUAGUCAUCAACAACUGUGCUUUGGAGAGUGAGACUUUUACAGCUCUUGCUGAAGCCUCCGUUCACCUCUCUGCUCUAGAAGUAUUCAACCUUUCUUGGAACAAGUGUGUUGGUGGCAACUUGAAGCUGCUUCUGGAAACACUAAAGCUUUCCAUGUCUCUUCAAGUGCUGAGGCUGAGCAGCUGUUCCCUGGUGACAGAGGACGUGGCUCUCCUGGGUGUGUAUCUACUUGUUCCCAAGCGGUCUCGGUACACAGAACAGAGGGUACCAUCCCUGCAAAGCAUGGAGUGGGGAGGUUGGGGAGGCAUGAGACCUAGGGUGAAGCCCUCUAUGCGGAUUCCCUUCUCCCCAAUAUCUGCUGAGAGGUCUAAUUAGAAUGAGCAAAGGCAAUUCUAAAACCACAUGGCAGUGGAGGAUGUUUCAUAAAAGGAUAUGGAUAUAGAUAUGUGGGGAGGUUCCUGAAAGGCAUACAGCUCCGUUCCACACCUCCCGGUCCAUGAGUGUUCCCACUUCAGUUAUCUACAUUUCACCCCAUCGACAUGGUUCCUAUACUACUACUUAACUUUUCCUUUAAAUUGACUCCAAUUUAAAUGCUUUUAUUUAAGGAGGAAACUGAUUAUCGCUAUCAUAUAUGAUAGCUGUAUCAUAAAUGAAAUACAGCUAUCAUUUCCUAUAGAUAUUAGACUGCUGAUGUCUUUGAUUAGAGGCUCCUUCUCUCUAUUAGAAAAAGAUGACAGAGGUUAAAGGUAUACUGUAGUACUGAUCUGAUACUUUUUCCACGUCAGUCUAGAGAGAUGAAAAGAUAAUUGAAUAAGAAAUAACUUUUGCACUGUGGGAUUCCAGUGAAAAUAUUCCAAAUAUUCCCUAAAAUCAUUUGGUGUGUCCACUCCCAUUAUAAAACAAUGAUUCAGAAAGUACUGUCUUUGUCUCCCAGCUAGCCUUGUCCUCUCGCCUCAAUCACUAUUCAGCCAUCAGCUGCCAGAAUUCCAAAGCAAUGAACACGACUCCAAGUGAAGGGCCAGAAUAGAAUGCUCACUCCAGGUAGUUGUAUCUGUGUUCUCAGUGUAUAUACCAGUCAGUUUUGCUAUGACACGACACAUGGGCCUAAAAAUUAUGUAUUAUGCAAGAAUUAUGCUGUAAUAACCAUAGGACUUAUGGUUGGAGGCACCACACUCGAACACUUCAUCACUGGCAUAUUUUAAGAAACAGAAGCUAUGAAAAAUAGUAAUAUAGUUUUACAUAUUAAAUAGUUAAGAAAUACGCCAGUAUUACACUUUCCUCUGAGAAAGACCUGAAGUUUGUCUGUAGAAGUGGCCUGUCCAGGAAUUCAAGACCGCAGUGAGUUAUGAUUGCCCCACUGCACUCCAGCCUGGGUGACCGAGCAAGACCCUGUCUCAGGAAAAACCAACCAAACAAAAGAACAUACAUAUAAAUGAAAUGUGGCAUUUCUGGAUCGGAAACUGGAAAAGAAAAAGAAUAGGCGCAGAAAAGUGGUUAAAUCUGAAUAAAAUUUAUAUAGUUUAGUUUCACUGUAUAACCUUGGAAUAUUAUUCGAUGGGCAUGUAAUAUCUAUUUUAAAACAUAAAAUUUAGCUUUUUUUUUUUUUUAAAAAAAGAAGUGGCCUGUCCACAAUUCCGUUGGUGGAAAGAGGGUAUGUGGAUGGGUGAGGGUUGUUGUAUUCAUGAGGUGUGUGCAUGUCUGCAUUUUGUUUAUUUAAUUUAUUUAUUUAGAAGGAGUCUCUCUGUGUCACCCAGACUAGAGUACAGUGGCUCUAUGUCAGCUCCCUACAACCUCUGCGUUCCGGGUUCAAGCAAUUCUCCUGCUUCAACCUCUUGAGUAGCUGGGAUUACAGGUGCACACCACCACGCCCGGCUAAUUUUUGUAUUUUUAGUAGAGGCGAGGGCUCUUUCCCACAAAGAAAAUUCCAAAUUUAGAUGGCUUCAAUGGUGAAUUCUGUGACACAAUUAAGGAAGAAAUAAUACUAAUUUUACACAAUCUUUCUGGAAAAUAAAAGAAGAAAUGGUACAUGCGUCCGUCUUCAGCCAAACCCAGGAAUGGAUGCAGAGAUCAGGUGAGUUGUAUAGAAUCUCAGAGUUGCAAGGGAUCUUGGAAGUCUCCUUGAUCCAACCUCCUCAUCAAUAAUCGGAGAGAAAUCCUUUUCACAGGCUCUCUACUAAUGACCACCACAAUUCUGCCUGAACUGUUUCAAGUUUGCCCCAGCAUUAUGGAGCGACUUAGCAGGAGGAAGCCCUCCCACUGGGCCCCAGUCUGUCUUCUGGUGUCUUUCAGCCAGUGUGUCUGUCAGUCAGCUGAAACGGUCAGCUCCUUCUUACUCAUGUCAGCCCUACAGUGUUGGGCAACAGCCAGGUCUCCCUCAAAUGUUCUCCCUCUAGGACCAAACGUGCCCUGGUCUUUCAGUCCUUCCUCACACGGCAUGGCUUUCAGACCAAGGAGAACGCUCCAACGCCAACACUUUCACACAUCGGUUAUACAGACGGGUCAUCUGGCCAAACUGCGAAAGCUGGACCUGAGCUAUAAUGACAGCGUCUGUGAUGCAGGGUGGACCAUGUUCUGCCAAAAGGUGCGGUUCCUCAAAGAGCUAA
Callithrix jacchus (white-tufted-ear marmoset) is the source of this 3967-nucleotide non-coding RNA. NCBI's taxonomy places the organism in Eukaryota, Metazoa, Chordata, Mammalia, Primates, Cebidae. The record is from RefSeq and is a predicted model, not a curated record.